RNAcentral lists this ribosomal RNA (549 nucleotides) under uncultured bacterium. Its description in RNAcentral is "bacterial SSU rRNA". It matches the Rfam family "Bacterial small subunit ribosomal RNA", at positions 355 to 896 of the family's 1533-position model. The record is from RNAcentral.
UGGGGAAUAUUGGACAAUGGGCGAAAGCCUGAUCCAGCCAUGCCGCGUGUGUGAAGAAGGCCUUUUGGUUGUAAAGCACUUUAAGUGGGGAGGAAAAGCUUAUGGUUAAUACCUAUAAGCCCUGACGUUACCCACAGAAUAAGCACCGGCUAACUCUGUGCCAGCAGCCGCGGUAAUACAGAGGGUGCAAGCGUUAAUCGGAAUUACUGGGCGUAAAGCGCGCGUAGGUGGUUAUUUAAGUCAGAUGUGAAAGCCCCGGGCUUAACCUGGGAACUGCAUCUGAUACUGGAUAACUAGAGUAGGUGAGAGGGGAGUAGAAUUCCAGGUGUAGCGGUGAAAUGCGUAGAGAUCUGGAGGAAUACCGAUGGCGAAGGCAGCUCCCUGGCAUCAUACUGACACUGAGGUGCGAAAGCGUGGGUAGCAAACAGGAUUAGAUACCCUGGUAGUCCACGCCGUAAACGAUGUCUACCAGUCGUUGGGUCUUUUAAAGACUUAGUGACGCAGUUAACGCAAUAAGUAGACCGCCCGGGGAGUACGGCCGCAAGGUUA